AUUGAACGCUGGCGGCAGGCCUAACACAUGCAAGUCGAACGGUAACAGGAAGCAGCUUGCUGCUUUGCUGACGAGUGGCGGACGGGUGAGUAAUGUCUGGGAAACUGCCCGAUGGAGGGGGAUAACUACUGGAAACGGUAGCUAAUACCGCAUAACGUCGCAAGACCAAAGAGGGGGACCUUAGGGCCUCUUGCCAUCGGAUGUGCCCAGAUGGGAUUAGCUAGUAGGUGGGGUAACGGCUCACCUAGGCGACGAUCCCUAGCUGGUCUGAGAGGAUGACCAGCCACACUGGAACUGAGACACGGUCCAGACUCCUACGGGAGGCAGCAGUGGGGAAUAUUGCACAAAGGGCGCAAGCCUGAUGCAGCCAUGCCGCGUGUAUGAAGAAGGCCUUCGGGUUGUAAAGUACUUUCAGCGGGGAGGAAGGGAGUAAAGUUAAUACCUUGGCUCAUUGACGUUACCCGCAGAAGAAGCACCGGCUAACUCCGUG
This 490-nucleotide ribosomal RNA is filed under the name uncultured bacterium. RNAcentral describes it as "partial 16S ribosomal RNA". It matches the Rfam family "Bacterial small subunit ribosomal RNA", at positions 30 to 507 of the family's 1533-position model. The record is from RNAcentral.